CGAGGGGAGUGAUGGGAGCAGGUGUUAGUAUGGUGAGCACCUGGGCCUCCUAAUGAGAAGGAUCAGUCUGGAGUGUGGAACCACAGGGAGCAGUUUAGGUUUCUGGAGGAAGCCCUGACCCAGGGAGAAGCUGCUGGGAGGGGAUGCAGUGGGAAAGGAGUCUGCUGCAGAGUAGAAGACAGUGAGAAGAAAUGUGUGGUUAAAAGGCAUAAAGAAGAGCCCCACAAGCCUGCUGCAGGAGGGGUGAUGUGCCCAGAACUUCAGUAAACCACAGGCUAUGAGAGGACUUGAGAGAAGGCAGCCGGAGAGUCAGCUCUUUCUAACAGAGCUGCAAGGACUUGGUAGUCGCCCAGAAGGGGGAAGAGCUGAGCCCAGGAACUGGACUGAAGACCAGCCCGGAGAGGGGCAGCAGCAUGAUUUGCUUAGACAUUUUGUUUGCGCUUUAAUUGGAUGUUUGUUACCCUGGAAGGGGACUGACCUUUCAGUGUGACCUGGCCGGAGGGCUGAGUCGCCCAGAAGACGACUGCUGCAGAAACAGGUGGGCCGACAAAAGGGGGCCCUCGACUGGGAAGGGUCCCUGCAAUGUUGCAUACUCCCUGCUAGGGGGCUUCGUAAGUGCCGAUGAACAGCUGUUGUCUCAAGAAAGCCCCCUGUUCUGUGUUUAGAAUGGAGCCAGAAGCAACCCUCCAGGCGGUUUUUUGUAAAGGAGAAGGGGCCUGGAGAAACUUGAGCGCAUCUAUCCAUCCUCCCUCAUCACCAUGGUAUCAAGGCACCUGGACUCAGUGUAGAAGUGGAGAGAGACAGAAUUCUGGACACAGUGAGAUGGAGGAGGGGAAAAAACACAAAAGAUGAGUAGGCUGAGAAGGAGAGUGAGUCUGAGAAGUACUAGAACUAGACAGUAACACUUUAGGGGCAGGGAUCGUAUUUUUGUUACAUGUUCGAUGGGUCCCUGAUGCAUGAUUUGGGUCCCUAGGCACUACCACAAUAUAAUGAGUGGUGCUGCUGGUACUAAUCAAUAAAUAACAGGAAGUGCUGCAUCUUCUGGUUAAAAGAACAACACAAAUAUGUCAUCACAUGUAGCUCGUGUACCAGUCAAUGUGCAAAUUUACCUUUACCAGUCAUAUGGAAUUAUAAAGUGACUAAUGUCUAUGUACCUGUCAUAACAAAUGUAUAUUCCUGAACCUUUAGGAAGAGAGACAGUUUCUCAGGAUAAUUUCAUCAGAGAUUUUUUUUUUUAAAUCACUGAAGAAACUUCUAUGUGAUUAAAUCAUCCAGUUGGACCUAUUGUAAUUAGUUUGCUCUUUAAUCAGGAGGAAUAGAAUGAUAAUAUCAUAAUUGCAAUGGAAACCAGUGGAGAGACUACAGAAUACCGGGCAGGAUACACCUGCUUCUAGAUAAUAACAUGUUCAACUAUUGCAAACAACCACACUGACCUUCAGUGAACUGUUAACAAAGAGGGAGAAAGGCAGGACCAAGGAUUCUCAUUAAACAGACUUGAGCUUUUGCUCAUUAAUAAGGAACCAUAAAUAUGACCAUAACAAGGACCAUUACAGUUUCUCCUGGCUUGAACUCACCUUCAACAAUCCCUGCCUCUCAGUAAGGAAGAAAUCAAAUCUUCUUGUUUGAGUGAUGUGAAACAAAUCUCAUUGCCUUCACCACCACCAGCACACAUACACAUUUCCACAGGUCCCAGGAAAGCAAAAUAUUUUAGACAUGAUUUAAAGGACAUGGGCAUCUUGUCUACAAGGCUGAGGCCAGCAAUAGGGACCAGGAAGUCCCGAAUUCUAAUCCCGCUGCUGACGCUGACUCUGUCCAUAGGUUUGGAAAAACUACUUCACUUUUCUUCUUAUUUAUUUGUGUUGCUGUACCAUCUAGGGGCCUUAGUCAUGGACUAAGACCCUCUGGUGCAGGAUGCUGUACGAACACAAAACAAAAGAUGUUCUCCACCCCGUUUUUGAAUUUAUCCUCCGUAAAAUGGAAAGAAUAAGUCUGAUGGUUGUGAAGAUUGUCAUAUUUGUAAAGUGCUAUAAUUCCCCCUCCCCUCCCCACAACAUAUGGGGAUUUUGUGUGAAAAUCAAUGGUGGUGCUUAGUGGCAGAGCAACUGUCCCAAAGCAGUUGGAAUGCAAGCACCAGCCUCAACCAAUCACGGAGCACCAGCUUAGCCAUGACACAGCAACAACUUGUCUUAGUUGUCAGGCAUCAGGGUUGCAGGUAGUCUUGCCGGGCAGUUUAGAAUUGAGGGUUUUAGAAGAGAGUGGCGUGAAGGGUCACUGGAGUGAAUGGAGAGCUGGCCUGUUGCUGACCUAUUUCAGGAGGAAAGGGUGCAGGAGCUUGUCACCUUGGAGAUGUACAGGUACAAAGAUCAGAGAAGGGCCUGUUACAACAGCUCCUUUGCUUCACGCAGGCGCGAGGGCUUCUCUCCUUUAAUAUUAAUAUUCCAGGUAGCUUGAGCCACAAAGUUUGAAUCUGGAUUUGGAAUCCAGUUUGUCAGAGUGAAUCUAGGCCUCUGGUUCAGGUCCACCUUGCGAUACAUCUCACAUGGGGUGAAAUUGACUGCUGUGUGGAAUAAGGCUUUGACACCAAAGUCCCACUUCCUUUCAAGAUUUACAUGAGGCAUAGGCCUUGCCCUGUCCCUCUGCACAGAGGUGAAUGUCACCCAGGGAGAUCAUCAGCAAAGGUGGUAUAUUUUUAUGUUAUGAAGGAGCUUUUCACACAUUUCUUUCUGCUGUGUUGGUCUCCAUGGCCAAUAUUUUAUUUGCUUGCUUGGCACUUGCCUGCUUUGUUGGAAUAUUGUUGGAAAAUCGAAUGAUAGGCUUUUUUUACACAAAAUGCAUUGAUUUUUUUUUUUAAUUGUUUCAGUCUUUUCAUUAAGAUCAGGCUGCAUUGAUUCCCACCACUGGGUUAACUCAGUUGGUUAAAAAUGGAAGGAUUGGGGGAGAAAAGAACAGAAUUUCCUUCUAUAUCUGCACCCUGCUCCUGAGAUCUCUUGAGAUAGUGUUUCCAAUUUCCUGAUCAGAAAAGGAUUUCAUGGCUUCCUGUGCUUUUGUAAGCACCACUUUUUUUUUUCUCUUGCACAUAAUCCUGUUAAUGUAACGGUAUAAAAUUUCUCCUAAUUGCUGUGUGUUGUCACACUAGCACUGAGGAGCAAUUAGCCAUGACCUAUUUGGUUGCAACAUUUUGCUCGGGCAGCAUCAAGUAACACCUGAUUGGUGGGAAGUAAAUAAAGUGUUGCCAGGAUAAACCAGUGCUCCAUCUGUGCCCCCUAGUCUGAUUCCAUCUUCAAGACCCAUCUCUGCUAGGGACAUGGGUUCUUUUCCUCUUCCUGUGUGCUGCUCUGGGCUGAGAAUAGCUUUGGAUGGCCGGAGGGAUCACCUUUUCAUUAAAAUCUAUAGCUGCUGACAGACCUCAAAAGAUCAUGUUCAAAUAAGCUUUGAAAUCUAUGCUGUAACCAUCUAUAGCAGUGGUUUCCACGCUGGGAUCAUGCUCCCUCAACCCCCUGCUUUAUUUAACAAUACAGGAAGCACAUAUAUUGUAACUCUGCUUGCACAGGAAAAUGUGUGUAUUGGUAACAUGAGGAAAUAGAUCUAGAACCAAGGGGAAUUCAUGGCAAAGGGCCUACAACAAGAAAUGGUCUUGACCUGCAAAAUUUGAGAAUUACCCAUACAUAAAGAAUGAAUGAGUCAAAUAAGAAAGUGGUGUGUUGAACUGUAGUUAAGAGGCCCGGGACAAAUUAAUCAUAUUGAAGCUGAUGGAAUUACACCUGAGAUGGUGGAUUUGAUAGUCUUUUCUCUUUCUUUAUAUAAAACCAGAAACAGCAUUCAAUUUGUUCUCCACACCUGCAGGAGGCUCCCCCUCCACCUCUGCUGAAGUCAGAAGCUGUGUGAGGUUCCAGCCUGUA
Molecule: long non-coding RNA, 3899 nt
Organism: Mauremys reevesii (Reeves's turtle)
Lineage: Eukaryota; Metazoa; Chordata; Testudines; Geoemydidae
Exons: 3
Source: RefSeq, a predicted model, not a curated record